RNAcentral lists this long non-coding RNA (1056 nucleotides) under Sinocyclocheilus grahami. RNAcentral describes it as "lncRNA (ENSSGRG00000043961.1)". The record is from RNAcentral. Lineage: Eukaryota; Metazoa; Chordata; Actinopteri; Cypriniformes; Cyprinidae.
UCCUGGCUGAGACAAAGUUGAUUCUUCAGAUGUGAAUGCACAAGAGAUGCACAAAACUUCAUUGUGUUUUCUCUAUUUAUAGAACUUGAAUCAGUGCAACACUGAAACCAAACCAAAACAUUUCGUACAGAACAAAGUGCCUUAAAAUUGCCUGCCUACACACUGACACAAAACCUUUCAAACUCUUAUUUCACAUAAUCCCCUGACGUAUAGACGGACCCUCUCCGGGGAACAGGUGGGUCUAUAUCUACACAGGCAGCUCAUCCUCAGCUUGCAAUCAUUCCCUGUAGGAGAAACAGAGAUUGUGAGAAUUUGUCCAGACGUGAAGAUGUUGGCAGUUGUGGUUGUGUUAUUCCUGGCAGCCGGCGUGAGCGACAGCGUGAUUUUGAGUAAAUGCGAGCUGAAGCAGCAGCUUGAAAGUGUCAUUACUCUGCCAAUUCCCAAUUCUGCAGACAUGCUGGCACAGAUCGUGUGUCACGUCCAGCUGACCUCUGGCUUCAAUACCAGUGCCAUUAAGACGAUCCCUGAGCCACAAGAGCGCAAUGGUGGUCACGGUUCUCGCCGUGGUAGGUCCCCCAGAGGAAAAAAUUCAGGCGACUCCUCCAGUUUGGAAAGUGACGAGGACAAAAGUGAGGUCUGGACUCUGUACGGCUUGUUCCAGCUUAGUGACCACGUGGUGUGCCGCUCUAUUCAAAGUCGUACACUGAACCUCUGUAGGCUGACCUGCGACAAGCUGAUUGACGAUGACACCAGUGAUGACAUCGCCUGUGUCCAGGCCCUUAUAAAUGCAGUAACUGCGCCGAUUCCUGACCGCAAAACUGCUAGACACAUCCGUGAAAUGAUCUCGCUGAUCCACCAGCCACAGUGCAUCGCCGUGAACGCCACUUCAUACUUCGCCGACUGUUAAACACCCUGAAUUCAAGACCUCUUGAUUUGAGUCCUGACCUCUUGUAGCUCCUUCUGUGCAUUUAUAUUCGUAGCUUUCUUGCAAGACAACAAAAUCCCAGCACAAGUAGCUUGUGUUUUGUAUACGAGUCAUUAAAACCAUUUUAAAAG